GUCUACGGCCAUAUCACGUUAAAAACACCGGUUCUCGUCCGAUCACCGAAGUUAAGCAACGUCGUGCCCGGUUAGUACUNGGAUGGGUGACCGCCUGGGAAUACCGGGUGCUGUAGGCU
RNAcentral lists this ribosomal RNA (119 nucleotides) under Helobdella robusta. The record is from RNAcentral. Lineage: Eukaryota; Metazoa; Annelida; Clitellata; Rhynchobdellida; Glossiphoniidae.